Molecule: ribosomal RNA, 401 nt
Filed under: Segatella copri
Lineage: Bacteria; Pseudomonadati; Bacteroidota; Bacteroidia; Bacteroidales; Prevotellaceae
Description: bacterial SSU rRNA
Rfam family: Bacterial small subunit ribosomal RNA
Source: RNAcentral
GGCACUCUGGGGACACUGCCACCGUAAGGUGUGAGGAAGGUGGGGAUGACGUCAAAUCAGCACGGCCCUUACGUCCGGGGCUACACACGUGUUACAAUGGCAGGUACAGAGAGACGGUCCCUUGCAAAAUGGAUCAAAUCCUUAAAGCCUGUCUCAGUUCGGACUGGGGUCUGCAACCCGACCCCACGAAGCUGGAUUCGCUAGUAAUCGCGCAUCAGCCAUGGCGCGGUGAAUACGUUCCCGGGCCUUGUACACACCGCCCGUCAAGCCAUGAAAGCCGGGGGCGCCUAAAGUCCGUGACCGUAAGGAGCGGCCUAGGGCGAAACUGGUAAUUGGGGCUAAGUCGUAACAAGGUAGCCGUACCGGAAGGUGCGGCUGGAACACCUCCUUUCUGGAGAGAC